GGGUUGUGAGGUUAAGCGACUAAGCGUACACGGUGGAUGCCCUGGCAGUCAGAGGCGAUGAAGGACGUGCUAAUCUGCGAUAAGCGUCGGUGAGGUGAUAUGAACCGUUAUAACCGGCGAUUUCCGAAUGGGGAAACCCAGUGUGUUUCGACACACUAUCAUUAACUGAAUCCAUAGGUUAAUGAGGCGAACCGGGGGAACUGAAACAUCUAAGUACCCCGAGGAAAAGAAAUCAACCGAGAUUCCCCCAGUAGCGGCGAGCGAACGGGGAGGAGCCCAGAGCCUGAAUCAGUGUGUGUGUUAGUGGAAGCGUCUGGAAAGGCGCGCGAUACAGGGUGACAGCCCCGUACACAAAAAUGCACAUACUGUGAGCUCGAUGAGUAGGGCGGGACACGUGGUAUCCUGUCUGAAUAUGGGGGGACCAUCCUCCAAGGCUAAAUACUCCUGACUGACCGAUAGUGAACCAGUACCGUGAGGGAAAGGCGAAAAGAACCCCGGCGAGGGGAGUGAAAAAGAACCUGAAACCGUGUACGUACAAGCAGUGGGAGCCUCUUAAUGGGGUGACUGCGUACCUUUUGUAUAAUGGGUCAGCGACUUAUAUUCUGUAGCAAGGUUAACCGAAUAGGGGAGCCGAAGGGAAACCGAGUCUUAACUGGGCGUUAAGUUGCAGGGUAUAGACCCGAAACCCGGUGAUCUAGCCAUGGGCAGGUUGAAGGUUGGGUAACACUAACUGGAGGACCGAACCGACUAAUGUUGAAAAAUUAGCGGAUGACUUGUGGCUGGGGGUGAAAGGCCAAUCAAACCGGGAGAUAGCUGGUUCUCCCCGAAAGCUAUUUAGGUAGCGCCUCGUGAAUUCAUCUCCGGGGGUAGAGCACUGUUUCGGCAAGGGGGUCAUCCCGACUUACCAACCCGAUGCAAACUGCGAAUACCGGAGAAUGUUAUCACGGGAGACACACGGCGGGUGCUAACGUCCGUCGUGAAGAGGGAAACAACCCAGACCGCCAGCUAAGGUCCCAAAGUCAUGGUUAAGUGGGAAACGAUGUGGGAAGGCCCAGACAGCCAGGAUGUUGGCUUAGAAGCAGCCAUCAUUUAAAGAAAGCGUAAUAGCUCACUGGUCGAGUCGGCCUGCGCGGAAGAUGUAACGGGGCUAAACCAUGCACCGAAGCUGCGGCAGCGACACUAUGUGUUGUUGGGUAGGGGAGCGUUCUGUAAGCCUGUGAAGGUGUACUGUGAGGU
This 1236-nucleotide ribosomal RNA is filed under the name Escherichia coli. RNAcentral's name for it is "partial 23S ribosomal RNA". It matches the Rfam family "Bacterial large subunit ribosomal RNA", at positions 1 to 1269 of the family's 2925-position model. The record is from RNAcentral. Lineage: Bacteria; Pseudomonadati; Pseudomonadota; Gammaproteobacteria; Enterobacterales; Enterobacteriaceae.